UCAAAUGCUCUUGAGUGUAGGUGAGAGUGAGAUGUUUUUCAUCAAAUGUUGAAGUCUUUUUCGCUAUAGACAGCACGAUAUUCACACAGAACAGGACUAUGGCAGCACAGUGUUCAGCAUUCAAAGGAAACGGCAGCCACCACAAGACGAUGUUCCUCAUUCUGGUCCGAGUGGGACUUGCGAAAAAGAAGGCUCCACACACAUCCGCCGGAUCCGCCGGAUCCGC
Molecule: long non-coding RNA, 226 nt
Organism: Solea senegalensis (Senegalese sole)
Lineage: Eukaryota; Metazoa; Chordata; Actinopteri; Pleuronectiformes; Soleidae
Exons: 3
Source: RefSeq, a predicted model, not a curated record